RNAcentral lists this transfer RNA (73 nucleotides) under Nakamurella flavida. RNAcentral describes it as "Humicoccus flavidus tRNA". It matches the Rfam family "tRNA". Rfam says of the family: Transfer RNA (tRNA) molecules are approximately 80 nucleotides in length. RNAcentral also lists the same sequence under 1 other name. Lineage: Bacteria; Bacillati; Actinomycetota; Actinomycetes; Nakamurellales; Nakamurellaceae. The record is from Rfam by way of RNAcentral.
GCCUCCGUAGCUCAGGGGAUAGAGCAGCGCACUCCUAACGCGCUGGUCGCAGGUUCGAAUCCUGCCGGGGGCA